This 213-nucleotide ribosomal RNA is filed under the name Herpotrichiellaceae sp. Its description in RNAcentral is "partial large subunit ribosomal RNA". Lineage: Eukaryota; Fungi; Ascomycota; Eurotiomycetes; Chaetothyriales; Herpotrichiellaceae. The record is from RNAcentral.
AAGCGCUUGUGACCAGACUUGAGUUUGACGGUUCCCCGGGUCUUUUGACCCGGCUAUUCCGUCCUAACCAGGCCAGCAUCGGUUUGGGUGGUCGGUUAAAGGUCUUGGGAAUGUAUCAACCUCCGGGUCGACUUAUAGCCCAGGACGUAAUGCGGCCUACCCGGACCGAGGAACGCGCUUUUGCUCGGAUGUUGGCGUAAUGGUUACAAGCGG